Molecule: non-coding RNA, 530 nt
Organism: Camellia sinensis
Lineage: Eukaryota; Viridiplantae; Streptophyta; Magnoliopsida; Ericales; Theaceae
Source: RefSeq, a predicted model, not a curated record
GAGAAAGGGGAAGGAGAACCGUGAGAGAGAGAGAGGGAGAGAGAGAAGAGGCAAAGCUUCUCCCUAAGGAAUUCAACAUCCAUGGAAGCUUGAAGAUGGUUGAAGAAGAUAGAAGAGAGAGGAAAGAUCAACCAAAAGCUUGGGAAAAAUUGAAGAGACUAAGGGAUGAACAAAGGUUUGGGUAAGGUAACCAACCAAGUGGUCAGUCCUAGUCAUGACACCUGUUUUCUUUUGUCAACCUUCGUGGGUUCAGGCACUGCACGAAGCCAUUUAUUUUUGUAAAGUCUAUUGAAAUGUUGGCUUAAUUUUGAUUACCCAUUUAAAGUUAAAGAGGUAGAACUUCAAUGAUUUUUAUAUAAGCCUAAUGAUGGGGCUGGGUCUGUACAUAUGGUUGUUUAUCACCGAUGCUACAACAUAUGGUUUGGAGCUUUAUCUAUUUUCCAUGAUGAAUGUGAUGUAUAAGAGGUCCUGGCAUGUAGAUGUAGCUCAAUGGAAUUUAUAUGUAUAGUUAUUUUCCUACUUUAUGCUUC